This 505-nucleotide ribosomal RNA is filed under the name uncultured bacterium. Its description in RNAcentral is "bacterial SSU rRNA". It matches the Rfam family "Bacterial small subunit ribosomal RNA", at positions 28 to 538 of the family's 1533-position model. The record is from RNAcentral.
GAUGAACGCUGGCGGCGUGCCUCAAACAUGCAAGUCGAGCGGGGCUAUGUAAUAUCGCAAGGUAGAACAUAGCCUAGCGGCGAACGGGUGAGUAACACGUGGGUAACCUGCCUGGAAGACAGGGAUAACGAUUCGAAAGGGUCGCUAAUACCUGAUAAUAUCCUUUCAUCGCAUGGUGAUAGGAAGAAAGGGGAAACCCGCUUUCAGAUGGGCCCGCGUCCCAUCAGCUAGUUGGUAAGGUAAAGGCUUACCAAGGCGACGACGGGUAGCCGGUCUGAGAGGAUGUACGGCCACACUGGGACUGAGAUACGGCCCAGACUCCUACGGGAGGCAGCAGUUGGGAAUCUUAGGCAAUGGACGAAAGUCUGACCUAGCGACGCCGCGUGAGGGAAGAAGGCCUUCGGGUUGUAAACCUCUGUCAUGGGGAAGAAGUAAGUGACGGUACCCAAGAGGAAGCCCCUGCUAACUACGUGCCAGCAAGCCGACGGUAAAAGUACGUCGUAAU